Molecule: ribosomal RNA, 322 nt
Filed under: uncultured bacterium
Lineage: Bacteria
Description: bacterial SSU rRNA
Rfam family: Bacterial small subunit ribosomal RNA
Source: RNAcentral
AUUGAACGCUGGCGGCAGGCCUAACACAUGCAAGUCGAGCGGUAGAGAGGUGCUUGCAUCUCUUGAGAGCGGCGGACGGGUGAGUAAUGCCUAGGAAUCUGCCCUAGUGGUGGGGGAUAACGUUCGGAACGGACGCUAAUACCGCAUAACGUCCUACGGGAGAAAGCGGGGGAUCUUCGGACCUCGCGCCAUUAGAUGAGCCUAGGUCGGAUUAGCUAGUUGGUGAGGUAAUGGCUCACCAAGGCGACGAUCCGUAACUGGUCUGAGAGGAUGAUCAGUCACACUGGAACUGAGACACGGUCCAGACUCCUACGGAGGCAGC